CCUACGGGUGGCUGCAGUCGGGAAUUUUGGGCAAUGGGCGAAAGCCUGACCCAGCAACGCCGCGUGAAGGAUGAAGUAUUUCGGUAUGUAAACUUCGAAAGAAUAGGAAGAAUUAAUGACGGUACUAUUUAUAAGGUCCGGCUAACUACGUGCCAGCAGCCGCGGUAAUACGUAGGGACCAAGCGUUGUUCGGAUUUACUGGGCGUAAAGGGCGCGUAGGCGGCAUGGCAAGUCACUUGUGAAAUCUCCGGGCUUAACUCGGAAAGGCCAAGUGAUACUGCUGAGCUAGAGUGCAGAAGGGGCAAUCGGAAUUCUUGGUGUAGCGGUGAAAUGCGUAGAUAUCAAGAGGAACACCUGAGGUGAAGACGGGUUGCUGGGCUGACACUGACGCUGAGGCGCGAAAGCUAGGGGAGCAAACGGGAUUAGAUACCCGUGUAGUC
Molecule: ribosomal RNA, 440 nt
Filed under: uncultured bacterium
Lineage: Bacteria
Description: partial 16S ribosomal RNA
Rfam family: Bacterial small subunit ribosomal RNA
Source: RNAcentral